This 253-nucleotide ribosomal RNA is filed under the name uncultured bacterium. RNAcentral's name for it is "partial 16S ribosomal RNA". It matches the Rfam family "Bacterial small subunit ribosomal RNA", at positions 524 to 776 of the family's 1533-position model. The record is from RNAcentral.
UACGUAGGGGGCAAGCGUUGUCCGGAUUUAUUGGGCGUAAAGAGCGUGUAGGCGGCUUGGUAGGUCCGCUGUGAAAACUCGAGGCUCAACCUCGAGAUGUCGGUGGAAACCACUUGGCUAGAGUCCGGAAGAGGAGAGUGGAAUUCCUGGUGUAGCGGUGAAAUGCGCAGAUAUCAGGAGGAACACCAAUUGCGAAGGCAGCUCGCUGGGACGUUACUGACGCUGAGACGCGAAAGCGUGGGGAGCAAACAGG